UAGAAAUAGUGUCAUUGUAUGUGUUAUUUCUGUAAAAUGGAGGGGAUAAGGAGAGAAGUAGAUCAACAAAGAAAAUUAUGUAAUUUAACAACAGUAUUGCCAUUUAUCUUCCUUACAGUAUUUGAUGCAAUACCUUAAGAUUCAUGCCUGUCUGACUGGAAGGAAGGGGAUGAAGGUUGAAUGGAUGCUGAAGGGUUUCCACACACUGCACCAGGUUGCACAGUGGAAGGUGGUGGGUCCUUGACAGUGGAGCUGAUACUUUCUCCAUGACAGAGGAAAGGAACAUUUGAUCUGGGGGAAUAAAUGAUAAAUAAGACACUUGCACAAAUCA
This is a long non-coding RNA of Carassius carassius (crucian carp), 331 nucleotides long. RefSeq lists it as uncharacterized. The transcript has 2 exons. The record is from RefSeq and is a predicted model, not a curated record. Lineage: Eukaryota; Metazoa; Chordata; Actinopteri; Cypriniformes; Cyprinidae.